This 253-nucleotide ribosomal RNA is filed under the name uncultured bacterium. RNAcentral describes it as "partial 16S ribosomal RNA". It matches the Rfam family "Bacterial small subunit ribosomal RNA", at positions 524 to 776 of the family's 1533-position model. The record is from RNAcentral.
UACGGAGGGGGCCAGCGUUGUUCGGAAUUAUUGGGCGUAAAGGGCGCGUAGGCGGCUGUGCAAGUCGGAGGUGAAAUCCCUCGGCUCAACCGGGGAACUGCCUCCGAUACUGCACGGCUUGAGUACCGGAGAGGGUAGCGGAAUUCCCAAUGUAGCGGUGAAAUGCGUAGAUAUUGGGAGGAACAUCAGUGGCGAAGGCGGCUACCUGGACGGUAACUGACGCUGAGGCGCGAAAGCUAGGGGAGCAAACAGG